CAAAGAUUCUGGCUCCAUUCAGGGCCCCGGGGAAAUUCACGAAGAGGCAGAGGCCGAAGAUGUCUUCAUGUAUCCCAACAAUUGACGUUUAACCUCUCUGUGCCUGCGCUCUGACUCUUACCGACUCUGCAAGACGUGGAAUUAAAAUCUGGCGAUCUGGAUGGAUAUGCUGGCACUUGCCUUUAAUUUGGGCACUGCAGAGGCCGAGGCAGGAGGAUCCCGUUGAAUUGGAGGGCAGUCUAGACUUCAAAGCAAGUUCACGUUCUAGCUGGGUUUGGGGAGACCCUGUUUUGUAUGGGUGCUGGUGUUUUUGGAGCAGGGUGUUUGUUUUAAAUGAGCUCAUCUGCUUCUCAGGGCUGUUAACCUGCCCUCCUAGUGGGGACUGGGCUGGUGGCAUGGAGCCUGGUAAACACAGGGGACAAGGCCACAGUCAGAACUGCUAGCUCUGCUCCCUCUGCUGCCAGACACAAUCUUGUCCCCACCCCUGCCCCACACCCCCGACCUCCCCUCCCUGGCCCACUUUCCCUCCCGCCUCUGGCUGCCAUUGUUAUUUCUUGCCUUUCCUUUCUCCUGUUCCUGUCUCCUCUCCUCUGUCUGCUGGUGAUCUUUCCAAGUGGUGCUUCUGGGCUACUUGAUCAUCAACUCACAGAGCACCUACUGUACCCCAGCACUGCCGGGAAACAGAACCUGAGCAGAGAACUGGCAGAGCCCAAAACUGAAGAGGCAGACAUGAUGGUCUGAGCGAGAAUGGCUCUCGUCAGCUCAUCUAUCUAAAUACUUGGUCGCUAUUUGGAGGAGCUGUUUAUGAAGGAUUGUGAGGUGCGGCCUUGUUGGAGAUCUGUCACAUGGGCAGGCUUUGAGCUUUCAAAGCCUCCUGCCAUUCCCAGUUCCCUCUUUGCCUCCUGCUUGUGGAUCAUGAGGUGAGCGCUCAGAUGGCCCUGCUGCUAUGCCUUUCUGCCACCACCAUAGACUCUAACCCUCUAAAACCAUAAGACAUACUAAAUUCUUUCUUUCAUAAGUUGUCUUGGUCAUGGUCUUUUGUCACAGCAUUAGAAAAGUAGCUAAGAUAGUAGAUGUGGUCAUUUCAGGGGGUGGCAGGUGUGGUAAAGAAGACAAACUACAGAAAUGAGACACGUCAUAGUUUGAUCAAGGAAAGGGAGAUAUAUUAUAGACAUUUGACUAAAGUAUUAGGAUUGACAUGGCUAUGUGAAGAUUGGGCAAAACAGAAAGCAAAAAACAAAAAACAAAAACAAAUGAAACAAACAAGCAAACAACAACAACGACAACAAAAAUAAAUGGUCCUGAGACAGCAGAGAGCUGGUGAGUCCAAGACAGGAAGAGGCUGGAACUCAGCUUGGAGGUUCCUGUGGGAUGACAAAGUAGAAAACCCUGGCCAAGGGAGUCACAACUAAAAUCCCACGAUUCAUGCAGUACAGGCCAGAGGAUGAGGAGUUUAAGAUUAUCCUUGGCUACACUGAAAUUUGGAGACCAGCCUGGACUACGUAAGACCCUGUGUUAAAACAGUAGCAAAAGCAACCAAACAAAACCAACAGCAACAGAAUAAAAUGUGCACUCUGGAGGCAGAAGUGAAGUGAUUCUGGCUGAGGGAAGACUCGGGGAGCUCCUAAGGAGGUGGAAGUGAGAUUGUGCACAUCUCAGGAAACAUCCUGUGUGUGAGAAGAGGCAAACAGAGCAUAGGAGGAACAUUGGGUCCUUGCAGGGGACCAGAGGCAAUGCCCCUCAGACCAUCAGUAUGGCACAAGGGGAAGGAGAUAGAGGAAGCUUCUGGUAAUGAUAGCAGGCAAUCAAACACACCAAGAAAGGAGAUUUCCUCCCUCUCUUCCCCUCUCUUCCCCUCUCCUCCCUCUUUCUGGCAUCCUGGUUCCUCACUCGUCCCAUUGCUUCUCAAUGGAAUAGUGCCAUUAACUAGGAGUAGUAGGUCUAGGAGAAAAUCAAGAGUUGCACUUGGCCAAAGCCAUGACAAAACAUUAAGAUAUAUUUCUGGAAACAAGAACAGACGCUUCCUCUAGAGAAAGGAUUCAUUGCUAGUGUUAAUGAAGCCCUACUCCUAGAGCAUGGCCAAGUCAACAACAGCCAGAUUUCACACCGUCUGGCCCUCUUGGCUGCUUGCUUUGGUGCAGUGCACAAGUCAGGCAAUGGCAGACAGUGAACCUGCCCUUGACCACAAUGAUUCUUGUUAGGAGGCCCCAAGUGAACACCCAGAGAGAGCUAAAUAUGUCAUUCUAAACUCCAGGAAGAUAGCAAGGGUAGAAAUAAAUCAGAAGCCAUGAUAACAUAGAGUGUUUCAGAUUAGCUAGCUGCCCUGAGACAUUCAGAUCAAAGUGCAAAAGACACAGGAAUGAAGCCUGGGACCUCUCAGGCUUAGCAAUAAGAAGAGGAACGAAAACAUCAGAAAGGCCUUCAAGGAGCUAUUGGAAGUAUGAGAGGUGACCGCACGGUGGAAGAACCCAGUCUCAAGGCAUAAGUUCUACUUCAUGGAGUGGAGAUGAACCGUAGAAAGCAGCCAGGAGUCUGAGUCCUGCCAAGGCAUAUAUCUUCUGGGGAACCAGCCUUUGAGCUGGCACUUAUGAAAUUCCCAUUUUGAGGAAAGAUAUGGAUGAGGUUGACCCAUUGCCCACACCUUCCAGAGCAUCCUCAAAGCUGGUGCCAUAUAUGGAUUCAAUUUCAACUGCAAGAAGAGCCCUGGCUGCCACACCAACUCUUGUGGUGAAACUGUCCAGCACAACCUCCAUGAGUGGCGUCAUCCCAGCAGGAACAACUCCAUGACAAGUGAUGUGUCUGUGUGGUAGUUUUCCCCUGGAGUCCACUUCUGAAGAGAAGCAGUUUCAAGAGGCAGACAAAGGAGGGAGAUGAAAAUCAGCAGGGCCCAGCAGGAGUUAGCUGGAUGGCCUCAGAAUACCUGAAGCUAGGUGAUGGAUAAAGAAAAAAGGUUCAGUUGACUUGCGGUGCUGGUGGCUGGCUGCUCUGCAGUCCAGGGAGAGGUGGCUCAAGCAAAGGUGACUCUGGGGACAUUGUCAUUGUCGAUUGUUUGAAGAGGCUCGGGUCUUGAAUGUGAAAUGAUGCUUAAAAGAGACUUUGACAACCAUCCUAGGAGAAAGGCGAAGACGCUAACAGUUGUGAAAUGGACACUUGCUGAGGAAACACGAGAACGUCUGCAUUUCCAUAAACUUGAGAAAACUCCUGAGUAUUUGGAGGCAUGCAGGGGUGAAGAAGAAAUGCCAAGUGCUUACAAGACUGAUUUUCCUGAGAAAGUGACUCAUUUUCCCUGUGUAUAUUUCUAUGUCGCCAUGGUUCUGGCAGGCAUAUGCUGCAAGGAAUCUUCCAAGAUGGUCAGAGGCAUCAGCAGAUUAUGCUAAUGCUGACGGCUCUGUUUCCAGCCUCCACCGAUGAGUGCCUCUGCCUUCCUUGGCUCAUAUCAACACAUUGAAAUGAAGCUUACAGAAUGUGGCGCCAUUGAAGAAGCCACACUCAGGUCCCGUCCUCAGGGACUCAUGUUGUUCCACCAAUGCAAGUGCUGUCACACAAUGGAAAGAAUGGAUUAAAUGUUUUUUCUAAAGGAGAAAAUAAGAACAAUGGUAAUAAUGAUUAUUCCAAAUAAAAAAUAAAAAAUAUAAAAUA
This is a non-coding RNA of Rattus norvegicus (Norway rat), 3639 nucleotides long. NCBI's taxonomy places the organism in Eukaryota, Metazoa, Chordata, Mammalia, Rodentia, Muridae. The record is from RefSeq and is a predicted model, not a curated record.